GGGGAAUAUUGGACAAUGGGGGAAACCCUGAUCCAGCAAUGCCGCGUGAGUGAAGAAGGCCUUAGGGUUGUAAAGCUCUUCCGCCCGCGAAGAUAAUGACGGUAGCGGGAGAAGAAGCCCCGGCUAACUCCGUGCCAGCAGCCGCGGUAAUACGGAGGGGGCUAGCGUUGUUCGGAAUUACUGGGCGUAAAGCGUACGUAGGCGGAUGCGCAAGUUGGGGGUGAAAUCCCGGGGCUUAACCUCGGAAUUGCCCUCAAAACUGCACGUCUUGAGACCGAGAGAGGUAAGGGGAAUUCCUAGUGUAGAGGUGAAAUUCGUAGAUAUUAGGAAGAACACCAGUGGCGAAGGCGCCUUACUGGCUCGGUACUGACGCUGAGGUACGAAAGCGUGGGGAACAAACA
RNAcentral lists this ribosomal RNA (401 nucleotides) under uncultured bacterium. RNAcentral's name for it is "bacterial SSU rRNA". It matches the Rfam family "Bacterial small subunit ribosomal RNA", at positions 356 to 774 of the family's 1533-position model. The record is from RNAcentral.